RNAcentral lists this ribosomal RNA (449 nucleotides) under Bacillus sp. (in: firmicutes). RNAcentral's name for it is "bacterial SSU rRNA". It matches the Rfam family "Bacterial small subunit ribosomal RNA", at positions 349 to 797 of the family's 1533-position model. Lineage: Bacteria; Bacillati; Bacillota; Bacilli; Caryophanales; Bacillaceae. The record is from RNAcentral.
UGGGGGUAGGCAAGCUUUGAUGAGAGUCUGACGGAGCACGCCGCGUGAGUGAUGAAGGCUUUCGGGUCGUAAAACUCUGUUGUUAGGGAAGAACAAGUGCUAGUUGAAUAAGCUGGCACCUUGACGGUACCUAACCAGAAAGCCACGGCUAACUACGUGCCAGCAGCCGCGGUAAUACGUAGGUGGCAAGCGUUAUCCGGAAUUAUUGGGCGUAAAGCGCGCGCAGGUGGUUUCUUAAGUCUGAUGUGAAAGCCCACGGCUCAACCGUGGAGGGUCAUUGGAAACUGGGAGACUUGAGUGCAGAAGAGGAAAGUGGAAUUCCAUGUGUAGCGGUGAAAUGCGUAGAGAUAUGGAGGAACACCAGUGGCGAAGGCGACUUUCUGGUCUGUAACUGACACUGAGGCGCGAAAGCGUGGGGAGCAAACAGGAUUAGAUACCCCGGUAGUCAA